GUGGGGAAUAUUGGACAAUGGGGGGAACCCUGAUCCAGCCAUGCCGCGUGUGUGAAGAAGGCCUUUUGGUUGUAAAGCACUUUAAGCGAGGAGGAGGCUACCGAGAUUAAUACUCUUGGAUAGUGGACGUUACUCGCAGAAUAAGCACCGGCUAACUCUGUGCCAGCAGCCGCGGUAAUAUAGAGGGUGCAAGCGUUAAUCGGAUUUACUGGGCGUAAAGCGCGCGUAGGUGGCCAAUUAAGUCAAAUGUGAAAUCCCCGAGCUUAACUUGGGAAUUGCAUUCGAUACUGGUUGGCUAGAGUAUGGGAGAGGAUGGUAGAAUUCCAGGUGUAGCGGUGAAAUGCGUAGAGAUCUGGAGGAAUACCGAUGGCGAAGGCAGCCAUCUGGCCUAAUACUGACACUGAGGUGCGAAAGCAUGGGGAGCAAACAGGAUUAGAAACCCUAGUAGUCC
RNAcentral lists this ribosomal RNA (451 nucleotides) under uncultured bacterium. Its description in RNAcentral is "bacterial SSU rRNA". It matches the Rfam family "Bacterial small subunit ribosomal RNA", at positions 354 to 796 of the family's 1533-position model. The record is from RNAcentral.